GCUUCUGAUGGCCUCUGGGAACAAUUAAGUGAUCAAUCAGCUGUGGAGAUGGUAUUUAAAAACCCAAGAGCUGGAAUAGCUAAGAGACUGGUGCGAGCAGCCCUUCAGGAGGCUGCCAAGAAGAGGGAGAUGAGGUACAAGGACAUCCUGAAGAUAGAAAAGGGGAUUAGGCGCUAUUUCCAUGAUGAUAUAACAGUUAUUGUGAUCUAUCUUGAUCACCAGAAAGAAUCAUUCCAUUCCAAAGGCACUCUUGGCUCCAUCACUGCACCUGUAGACAUUUUCUCAUUUAAUUCAGAUGAUGCUGAGGAGAACCAAGUGAUUGAAGCCUUUUGAACUGCCAGAAACCGCAACAAGAGGAUGGUAUAUUCAGUACAUAAUGUUACUGUAUAGGGAAAUGGC
This 399-nucleotide unclassified non-coding RNA is filed under the name Hevea brasiliensis (rubber tree). Lineage: Eukaryota; Viridiplantae; Streptophyta; Magnoliopsida; Malpighiales; Euphorbiaceae. The record is from RNAcentral.